GGAGGCAGCAGUGGGGAAUAUUGGACAAUGGGCGAAAGCCUGAUCCAGCAACGCCGCGUGAGGGAUGACGGCCUUCGGGUUGUAAACCUCUUUCACCUGUGACGAAGCGGAAGUGACGGUAGCAGGAGAAGAAGCACCGGCCAACUACGUGCCAGCAGCCGCGGUAAUACGUAGGGUGCGAGCGUUGUCCGGAAUUAUUGGGCGUAAAGGGCUCGUAGGCGGUUUGUCGCGUCGGGAGUGAAAACUCAGGGCUUAACUCUGAGCCUGCUUCCGAUACGGGCAGACUAGAGGUAUGCAGGGGAGAACGGAAUUCCUGGUGUAGCGGUGAAAUGCGCAGAUAUCAGGAGGAACACCGGUGGCGAAGGCGGUUCUCUGGGCAUUACCUGACGCUGAGGAGCGAAAGUGUGGGGAGCGAACAGGAUUAGAUACCCUGGUAGUCCACACCGUAAACGUUGGGCGCUAGGUGUGGGACUCAUUCCACGAGUUCCGUGCCGCAGCUAACGCAUUAAGCGCCCCGCCUGGGGAGUACGGCCGCAAGGCUAAAACUCAAAUGAAUUGACGGAA
Molecule: ribosomal RNA, 564 nt
Filed under: uncultured bacterium
Lineage: Bacteria
Description: bacterial SSU rRNA
Rfam family: Bacterial small subunit ribosomal RNA
Source: RNAcentral